This 290-nucleotide ribosomal RNA is filed under the name unidentified marine bacterioplankton. Its description in RNAcentral is "partial 16S ribosomal RNA". It matches the Rfam family "Bacterial small subunit ribosomal RNA", at positions 53 to 339 of the family's 1533-position model. The record is from RNAcentral.
ACAUGCAAGUCGAACGGAAAUAAAGGAGCUUGCUCCUUUUUGAUUAGUGGCGAACGGGUGAGUAACACGUGGGCAACCUGCCCCUGACUCUGGGAUAACUAUUCGAAAGAGUAGCUAAUACCGGAUAUGAAACCUGGAGACAUCUUCAGGUUUGGAAAGUUUUUUCGGUCAGGGAUGGGCCCGCGGCCUAUCAGCUAGUUGGUGGGGUAGUGGCUCACCCAAGGCGACGACGGGUAGCCGGCCUGAGAGGGCGACCGGCCACACUGGGACUGAGACACGGCCCAGACUCC